RNAcentral lists this small nucleolar RNA (107 nucleotides) under Oryza punctata. Its description in RNAcentral is "Plant small nucleolar RNA R71". It matches the Rfam family "Plant small nucleolar RNA R71". Rfam says of the family: R71 is a member of the C/D box family of snoRNAs containing the C (UGAUGA) and D (CUGA) box motifs. Multiple nearly identical copies of this snoRNA have been identified in Arabidopsis, and it is thought to function as a 2'-O-ribose methylation guide for 18S ribosomal RNA. Lineage: Eukaryota; Viridiplantae; Streptophyta; Magnoliopsida; Poales; Poaceae. The record is from Rfam by way of RNAcentral.
AUCCCAUGAUGAGAACAGGCGGCGACAUAUUCCUGCAGCCUUUCCCAUGCUUCCGGGAUCAUUUCAUCUUUCGUCUGCUGGAAGCUGGAUAUCCUUCCACAAAGGGC